RNAcentral lists this long non-coding RNA (529 nucleotides) under Ananas comosus (pineapple). RNAcentral's name for it is "long non-coding RNA (ACOM_LNC011294)". Lineage: Eukaryota; Viridiplantae; Streptophyta; Magnoliopsida; Poales; Bromeliaceae. The record is from RNAcentral.
AAGUUAGGUUGGCAAUUCAAAAUGAUUCAUAAUCCGUAUUAAGUUUUUGCACAUUUUUACCUAUUCAGAGUUAAUGAUGCAUGAGGAUUAUGAAAGGUCUCCUUGGUGGUAUGUGGAGUUUCUGAGUUACGAUUCAUGUACUAAAACAAAGGGAAAACUUCAAAAACCCCCCAUGUGGUUUCGUGCUUUCUCACUUUAGUACCCUGUAGUUUAAAACGUAUCAAUUUGUCCCCCUGUGGUUUCGUUUUUCUCUUUUUGUUAUCAAUUUUAUUAUUAUUUUUUUCUUAAAUCAGUGACAAAGUUAAAAUUAAAGAAUACUAAAGUGAAUAUUCGAUAAAUAUAGAUGGUUAUCUGAAGUUUUUUGUAUAUAAUUUAACGAAAUGUUAACGAAAAAGCUUUCGAAAAGAUAAAAAUGAAACCACAGGGGGGCAAAUUGAUAGGUUUUAAACCACAGGGUAGUAAAGUGAGAAUGCAUGAAACCACCGGGGGGGUUUUUGAAAUUUUUCCUAAAACAAAACAUGCCAAUAAA